UGACUUCUGGUAAGGUUGGCAUUUGCGUUCUGCAAAUAAACAUUAGAAAAAGCUGAAACGUUCAUUCCUCACUUGGACUAGAUAUCUUUCUAAAUAAUACUGUAGUUAAAGCACAGUAAUCUUAAACCAGCAGCAAAUUAAUGUCUAAUAUAUUCAAAAAAAAAAUUGUCUUCAGCAGAAGCCAAACUAGAUUAAAAAAAAAAAGUGCAAGAAGCAUUGUUUUAAGAAGAAAAUAUUUUCCACUGUGUUAAAAUGUACCUAUAUCUUUAACAAAAUGAAACUUGAGAUUUUCUUCAAGUGUUGGUUGUUCAUAUAGAAACUUAAAAAAAUAAAAAUAAAAAUCCACAAUUCUAAGUGCCAUAUGACAAAACAAACAAACAAAUAAACAAAUAAACAAAAAAACUUGCUUCUAAUUUUCCCCUUUGUAGCUACUCUGAACUUCCAGUGUUUUGAAUUUGAGAAAAUAGAACAUAUCUUUGCUGUUAGUGGGAAGAAAUAGAAAGACUGGAAUGGGGUUAAAGUAACUCUUAGUACAUUCUUUCCCAAGGGAAACUUGACUGUCAACAGUGGAUUAUGCUAACUUUCCCUUUGUCUAAUGCUUCACAGGUUGUGGGUUUAAUCACCUUUAAAGUGAAGAAUGGAAGGAGAAAGCAGAUUUGAACUAAAGUAUGUGCCAUAAGUUCUGAGUGCUUAAGACCUUACCUCAGCAGUAGAGUUCACUGAUUGUGCUGGAGGCUCUAUCCAGGAGGAAGACCAUGACAAAAAGGGGAAGAAUUCUUCAGCUGUUAAUGAAAGUAUUGCUUUGGCAUAACAAACAUUUUUGGUAUUUCAGAUGCACAGAUUCUAUUAUCUAUUAUCUUUAAAGUGCCUUUCUCUGCUAAGUGUUGGCAGUGGGCUACGGUGACAGUAGACUUUGAGGAGGCCUUCUGGGAACCUUGCCAUCCGUGCCCAUCAUGGUGAAAAUAUUUCAGCACACUUUUCAACAUCAUGGACUCUAAGCUUCCAGGGCAGCAAAUCAAUGAGGAAAAUACUUGGCUGAUGGCCCCUCUAAGUACUGGAAGGCCUCUGUAAGGUCUCCUUGGAGCCUUUUCUUCUCCAGGAUGAACAAUCUCUCAGCUUUUCUUCAUCACAGAAGUACUCUAGCCCUCUGAUCAACCUCAAGGCCUUCUUCUGGACAAGGUUACCAGUUUCCAGAGAUGAACACAGUAUUCUAGGUGGGGUAUCAUGAAAAUGUUUUGGAGGUUUGUCAUACUAACAACAUCAAUAAGAUACAA
Gallus gallus (chicken) is the source of this 1274-nucleotide long non-coding RNA. NCBI's taxonomy places the organism in Eukaryota, Metazoa, Chordata, Aves, Galliformes, Phasianidae. The record is from Ensembl.